ACGCUCGACACCUACGGGAGACAGCAGUGGGGAAUAUUGCACAAUGGGGGAAACCCUGAUGCAGCGACGCCGCGUGAGCGAAGAAGUAUUUCGGUAUGUAAAGCUCUAUCAGCAGGGAAGAAACUGACGGUACCUGACUAAGAAGCACCGGCUAAAUACGUGCCAGCAGCCGCGGUAAUCUGAGCGGGCUGGCAAGGC
Molecule: ribosomal RNA, 198 nt
Filed under: uncultured bacterium
Lineage: Bacteria
Description: partial 16S ribosomal RNA
Rfam family: Bacterial small subunit ribosomal RNA
Source: RNAcentral